Molecule: ribosomal RNA, 253 nt
Filed under: uncultured bacterium
Lineage: Bacteria
Description: partial 16S ribosomal RNA
Rfam family: Bacterial small subunit ribosomal RNA
Source: RNAcentral
CACGUAGGGGACGAGCGUUGUCCGGAUUUAUUGGGCGUAAAGAGCUCGUAGGCGGCUCAUUGCGUCAACCGUGAAAACCAGCAGCUCAACUGUUGGCUUGCGGUUGAUACGGGUGGGCUGGAGUUCGGUAGGGGAGACUGGAAUUCCUGGUGUAGCGGUGAAAUGCGCAGAUAUCAGGAGGAACACCGGUGGCGAAGGCGGGUCUCUGGGCCGAUACUGACGCUGAGGAGCGAAAGCGUGGGGAGCGAACAGG